GACGAACGCUGGCGGCGUGCCUAAUACAUGCAAGUCGAACGAGAGCAACCGGUGCUUGCACUGGUCAAUCUAGUGGCGCACGGGUGAGUAACACGUGGGUAACCUGCCCAUCAGAGGGGGAUAACAUCCGGAAACGGAUGCUAAAAUCGCAUAGGUCUUCGAACCGCAUGGUUUGAAGAGGAAAAGAGGCGCAAGCUUCUGCUGAUGGAUGGACCCGCGGUGCAUUAGCUAGUUGGUGAGGUAACGGCUCACCAAGGCCGUGAUGCAUAGCCGACCUGAGAGGGUGAUCGGCCACAUUGGGACUGAGACACGGCCCAAACUCCUACGGGAGGCAGCAGUAGGGAAUCUUCCGCAAUGGACGCAAGUCUGACGGAGCAACGCCGCGUGAGUGAAGAAGGUGUUCGGAUCGUAAAACUCUGUUGUUAGAGAAGAACAAGUGCUAGAGUAACUGUUAGCGCCUUGACGGUAUCUAACCAGAAAGCCACGGCUAACUACGUG
Molecule: ribosomal RNA, 498 nt
Filed under: uncultured bacterium
Lineage: Bacteria
Description: partial 16S ribosomal RNA
Rfam family: Bacterial small subunit ribosomal RNA
Source: RNAcentral